GUGCAGCAGGCGCGAAACUUUACAAUGUGCGAAAGCACGAUAAGGGAACUCUGAGUGCCUCCUAAGGAGGCUGUUCAGGUGUCUAAAAGCACCUGAAGGAAGGGCUGGGUAAGACCGGUGCCAGCCGCCGCGGUAACACCGGCAGCCCAAGUGGUAGCCACGUUUAUUGGGUCUAAAGCGUCCGUAGCCGGCUGGGUAAGUUCCUUGGGAAAUUUGGCUGCUUAACAGUCAAGCUUUCAGGGAAUACUGCCCGGCUUGGGACCGGGAGAGGUCAGAGGUACUCCGAGGGGUAGGGGUGAAAUCCAUUAAUCCUUGGGGGACCACCGGUAGCGAAGGCGUCUGACCAGACCGGGUCCGACGGUGAGGGACGAAGGCUAGGGGCGCGAACCGGAUUAGAUA
This 399-nucleotide ribosomal RNA is filed under the name uncultured microorganism. RNAcentral's name for it is "bacterial SSU rRNA". It matches the Rfam family "Archaeal small subunit ribosomal RNA", at positions 330 to 735 of the family's 1478-position model. The record is from RNAcentral.